RNAcentral lists this ribosomal RNA (497 nucleotides) under uncultured bacterium. Its description in RNAcentral is "partial 16S ribosomal RNA". It matches the Rfam family "Bacterial small subunit ribosomal RNA", at positions 28 to 507 of the family's 1533-position model. The record is from RNAcentral.
GACGAACGCUGGCGGCGUGCCUAAUACAUGCAAGUUGAGCGCUGAAGGUUGGUACUUGUACCAACUGGAUGAGCAGCGAACGGGUGAGUAACGCGUGGGGAAUCUGCCUUUGAGCGGGGGACAACAUUUGGAAACGAAUGCUAAUACCGCAUAAAAACUUUAAACACAAGUUUUAAGUUUGAAAGAUGCAAUUGCAUCACUCAAAGAUGAUCCCGCGUUGUAUUAGCUAGUUGGUGAGGUAAAGGCUCACCAAGGCGAUGAUACAUAGCCGACCUGAGAGGGUGAUCGGCCACAUUGGGACUGAGAAAAGGCCCAAACUCCUACGGGAGGCAGCAGUAGGGAAUCUUCGGCAAUGGACGAAAGUCUGAACGAGGAAAGCCGCGUGAGUGAAGAAGGUUUUCGGAUCGUAAAAAUCUGUUGGUAGAGAAGAACGUUGGUGAGAGUGGAAAGCUCAUCAAGUGACGGUAACUACCCAGAAAGGGACGGCUAACUACGUG